AGAACUUAGCAGAGAUGCUUUGGUGCCUUCGGGGAACUCUGAGACAGGUGCUGCAUGGCUGUCGUCAGCUCGUGUUGUGAAAUGUUGGGUUAAGUCCCGCAACGAGCGCAACCCUUAUCCUUUGUUGCCAGCGGUUAGGCCGGGAAACUCAAAGGAGACUGCCAGUGAUAAACUGGAGGAAGGUGGGGAUGACGUCAAGUCAUCAUGGCCCUUACGAGUAGGGCUACACACGUGCUACAAUGGCGCAUACAAGAGAAGCGACCUCGCGAGAGCAAGCGGACCUCAUAAAGUGCGUCGUAGUCCGGAUUGGAGUCUGCAACUCGACUCCAUGAAGUCGGAAUCGCUAGUAAUCGUGGAUCAGAAUGCCACGGUGAAUACGUUCCCGGGCCUUGUACACACCGCCCGUCACACCAUGGGAGUGGGUUGCAAAAGAAGUAGGUAGCUUAACCUUCGGGAGGGCGCUUACCACUUUGUGAUUCAUGACUGGGGUGAAGUCGUAACAAGGUAAGCGUAGUGCU
RNAcentral lists this ribosomal RNA (518 nucleotides) under uncultured bacterium. Its description in RNAcentral is "bacterial SSU rRNA". It matches the Rfam family "Bacterial small subunit ribosomal RNA", at positions 992 to 1509 of the family's 1533-position model. The record is from RNAcentral.